UACGGAGGGAGCUAGCGUUGUUCGGAAUUACUGGGCGUAAAGGGCUGGUAGGCGGCCAACUAAGUCGGAUGUGAAAUCCCCAGGCUUAACCUGGGAACUGCAUCCGAUACUGGUCGGCUUGAAUCCGGGAGAGGGAUGCAGAAUUCCAGGUGUAGCGGUGAAAUGCGUAGAUAUCUGGAGGAAUACCGGUGGCGAAGGCGGCAUCCUGGACCGGCAUUGACGCUGAACAGCGAAAGCUAGGGGAGCAAACGGG
RNAcentral lists this ribosomal RNA (253 nucleotides) under uncultured bacterium. Its description in RNAcentral is "partial 16S ribosomal RNA". It matches the Rfam family "Bacterial small subunit ribosomal RNA", at positions 524 to 776 of the family's 1533-position model. The record is from RNAcentral.